RNAcentral lists this ribosomal RNA (457 nucleotides) under uncultured Sphingobacteriales bacterium. RNAcentral describes it as "bacterial SSU rRNA". It matches the Rfam family "Bacterial small subunit ribosomal RNA", at positions 921 to 1382 of the family's 1533-position model. Lineage: Bacteria; Pseudomonadati; Bacteroidota; Sphingobacteriia; Sphingobacteriales. The record is from RNAcentral.
CCGCACAAGCGGAGACAUGUGGUUAAUUCGAUGAUACGCGAGGAACCUUACCUGGGCUUAAAUGUAGAGUGCAUUUUUUAGAGAUAGAAAUUCCCUUCGGGGCUUUCUGCAAGGUGCUGCAUGGUUGUCGUCAGCUCGUGCCGUGAGGUGUCGGGUUAAGUCCCAUAACGAGCGCAACCCUUAUCGUUAGUUGCCAGCUGGUAAAGCAGGGGACUCUAGCGAAACUGCCACCGUAAGGUGAGAGGAAGGUGGGAUGACGUCAAAUCAGCACGGCCCUUAUGUCCAGGGCUACACACGUGUUACAAUGGUCGGUACAGAGGGCAGCUACCUGGUGACAGGAUGCUAAUCUCGAAAACCGGUCUCAGUUCGGAUCGAAGUCUGCAACUCGACUUCGUGAAGCUGGAUUCGCUAGUAAUCGCGCAUCAGCUAUGGCGCGGUGAAUACGUUCCCGGGCCUU